CGGAAAAGAUUGGGGACCGCUGCUCUACGGGAACAUUAUCUUAAACUUUUUCAUUUCGGAAAUGAAACAGCUCCUCCCUUCACCGCCACCUUGGCUAUUUCUGGGACCAAAGGAAUCCUUGAAGCUGACCGGGCAGGAGAGUCCACGCUGGGAGUAAAAUCACUACAAAGCCCUUUUCUUAAAGCCCAAGGUCUCUGAAGCUGCACUUGAUUGGUUGGAUACUGUAUUAGACCAUUCCCACGCUGCUAAUAAAAACAUACCUGAGACUGGGUAAUUUAUAAAGGAAAGAGGUUUAAUUGACUCACAGUUUAGCAUGGCCGGGGAGGCCUCAGGAAACUUACAAUCAUGGCGGAAGGGAAAGCAAACGCGUUCUUCUUUACAUGGGGGCAGGAAGGAGGAGUGCUGAGCAGAGAGGGGAAAAGCCCCUUAUAAAACUGUCAAAUGAGAACUCAUUCACUAUCACAAGAACAGCAUGAGGGUAACAGCCCCCAUGACUAAAUUACUGUGAAAAUUGAUAUACCCUUCCAAGGAGAGAGGGCCUAAGCUGCCACUGAACAGUGUCCAUCAGAAGGCCCCUGCUGAGUAGUUGGCAGGGUGGCUGCACAUAAUGGAAAGCACAUAAGCUUGAAGCCAGACAGAUGGGAGUUCUAACCCCAGCCCUGCCACUUAUUCCCAGGUGACACUGGUUAUGAACAAAGCUACUGGAAAUGUCUGAGUGGAAGUUUUUGUGUGGAUGUAAGUUUUCGGCUCCUUUGGAUAAAUACCAAGGAGCAUGCGGUGGAAAUUAGGCCAAAAUAAAUACUACUUUCUGCUUAAAAAAAUGCAGUGAUGUCCAAAGAGAAGGGAGGAGGAAGGAUGAAAGGAAAGACAGAGGAGGAAGGAAGAGAAGAAAGAAGAGUGGCCGGCACAAGGGCUUGGAGAUCCCUGAAGCUGUUUUCCUUUCUCCUCACCCCCACAGGGAGGGAUCCACAUCGUUGUGGGGUUUUUGUUGUUGUUGUUUUUGUUUUUGUUUUUUUGCCUCCCUUCAUCAAAGCAUUCAUUGUAGUGUAUGGUAAUUGUCUCUGAAUGUAACAGCCUCUCUUCCCUGAGGCCUGGGUCUGCUUGUUUCAUACCAUCUUCUCCUUAACACACAGUG
RNAcentral lists this long non-coding RNA (1135 nucleotides) under Homo sapiens (human). RNAcentral's name for it is "long non-coding RNA NONHSAT199680.1". The record is from RNAcentral. Lineage: Eukaryota; Metazoa; Chordata; Mammalia; Primates; Hominidae.